This 327-nucleotide ribosomal RNA is filed under the name uncultured eukaryote. Its description in RNAcentral is "partial 18S ribosomal RNA". It matches the Rfam family "Eukaryotic small subunit ribosomal RNA", at positions 1470 to 1796 of the family's 1831-position model. The record is from RNAcentral.
CCCUUAGAUGUUCUCGGCCGCACACGCGCUACACUGAAAGAGGCAACGUGUUUGCCUGAUUCGAAAGAAUUGGGUAACCCCCUAAUCUCUUUCGUGCUGGGGAUUGAGGUUUGCAAUUAUCCUUCAUGAACGAGGAAUUCCCAGUAAGUGCGAGUCAUUAUCUCGCGCUGACUACGUCCCUGCCCUUUGUACACACCGCACGUCGCUACUACCGAUUGAAUGAUUUAGUGAGGACUUCGGACUGAGUCCAAUGCGGCUUUCGGGCUGCGUUGGUAUUUCGGAAAGAUGUCCAAACUGUAUCAUUUAGAGGAAGUAAAAGUCGUAACA